CUGGCUGGGGGUUCGCAGGUGAGUUUUGGGGGCAGCUGGUGUCUGCACAGCCACAGGUCCUCCUGCUGGGGCCCUGGUAGGUAUUUGGAGCCCAGCCAGAGCCACACACAGCUGGAGGCCUUGGAUGCUCCCUCCUGCAUCCUCGUGCCACUGUUGCCCCCAACAGUCCUGGCCUGCUCACCUGACCCUCGCACCUGUGCUGUGGGCCUGUGUCCUUCAGCCUCUCUGUUCGCUCCUUUGAUGGUGUGUGCCUGUCUCUGGGUGUUGAUGUCAGCUUGUUUGUCUGCUCCCUGCCCCGUGCCUGGGUGUGUUGGAGUGUCUAACCGUGUCUUUCUGCCCGUCUGUCCUGUGCAGCUGGACUCUGUUGAGGAAGGAGCGGUAUGGAUUCUUUGUUUCUUCCGCCCACCGAGGCCCCAUCCCUACCCCCAGUCAGAAGCAGCCACUCCUGUCCUGAGUUCUCUCUGCAGCUGCUUUGGGACAACAGAGGCAGGGCGUGGCGUUUCCCUCUUGCCAUGUUGCCCAUCCCAGCCAGUCCCACCUCGGGUCUGUCAGUACACCAGGGUCUUCCUGGGGACACAGAGCUCUGGGCUGACUCUGGGCUGGCUCUGGUCAAGCAACUGAGCCCCAAUCCUUUUUUUGCCGCAGAGGACGAUCUCUUUGGGGGCUGGUGACCGGCAGGUCAUCCAGACUCCACUGGCCGACUCGCUGCCUGUCAGCCGCUGCAGCGUGGCCCUGCUCUUCCGCCAGCUGGGCAUCACCAACGUGCUGUCUUUGUUCUGUGCCGCCCUCACGGAGCACAAGGUUCUCUUCCUGUCCCGGAGCUACCAGCGGCUCGCCGAUGCCUGUAGGGGCCUCCUGGCACUGCUGUUUCCUCUCAGAUACAGCUUCACCUAUGUACCCAUCCUGCCGGCUCAGCUGCUGGAGGUCCUCAGCACUCCCACGCCCUU
RNAcentral lists this small RNA (947 nucleotides) under Pongo abelii (Sumatran orangutan). RNAcentral describes it as "retained intron". The record is from RNAcentral. Lineage: Eukaryota; Metazoa; Chordata; Mammalia; Primates; Hominidae.